This 694-nucleotide ribosomal RNA is filed under the name Epizoanthus sp. AT41-18-114. Its description in RNAcentral is "partial 28S ribosomal RNA". The record is from RNAcentral. Lineage: Eukaryota; Metazoa; Cnidaria; Anthozoa; Zoantharia; Epizoanthidae.
CCGUGAGGGAAAGAUGAAAAGAACUUUGAAAAGAGAGUUAAAAAGUACGUGAAACCGUUAAAAGGGAAACGAAUGGAGUUAGCAAUGCACUCUGUAAGAUUCAGCCGGCUGGUGGCUCGGACGGACAGUUUGCGGAUCUGAAUGGACUGCUGCUGUUCGGCUCGUGCCCCCGACCGUCGCACUUCUUGCGGGUGCGCGUCAACAUCGGUUCGGACUGGGUUUUAAAGGCUUAGGGAAGGUAGGUCGAGCGUCUCGGCGCUCUUCUAUUAUAGCCCUYCGCUUUAUGGCUCGGSCCGGACCGAGGAGCCGCAGCGCAUGCCUCUUCUGGCUAGUUUUCCGUAGCGCCGGUCGGUUGUCGAUCGUGGUGGACUGCUUGCAGUGCGCCCAAACUGCUGCCGGUCGCCGUUGCGGUAACUUCAUACCAUGCGCUCAGGAUGUUGGCGGUCAUAUGGCUUCAUCCGACCCGUCUUGAAACACGGACCAAGGAGUCUAACAUGUGCGCGAGUCUUAGGGUGAUUGAAACCCCAAGGCAGAAUGAAAGUGAAGGCAGCCUAGCUGCUGAGGUGAGAACCUCUCCUCCGGGAGUGGCGCAUCAUUGACCGAUCUAUUCUACUCUUAGGAAGAUUUGAGUAAGAGCGCAUCUGUUGGGACCCGAAAGAUGGUGAACUAUGCCUGAAUAGGGUGAGGCCAGAGG